Long non-coding RNA from Populus nigra (black poplar), 428 nucleotides. RefSeq lists it as uncharacterized. The record is from RefSeq and is a predicted model, not a curated record. NCBI's taxonomy places the organism in Eukaryota, Viridiplantae, Streptophyta, Magnoliopsida, Malpighiales, Salicaceae. The transcript has 3 exons.
GAUAAAUUCAAACCCACAUAGACUCAUGAAAAUAUGAACCCCGGUUCCUUUUACCAUCUAGCCGGACUUGUUGCGUGAAAACAAAAGCAACAAUCAACUCCUCCUCCUCCUCCUCAUCUUCUUCUUCAAGCAAAAGCAAGCUCAGCAGACUCAAGACCUCGUCAAUCAAUCAAUCUUAUUCAAGUGGAUGAAGGGUAAAACACACCCCCACGAGUUAUUUUCGAUUUAGACAACCUUCUAUGCUGUUACCAGUGGACAGAGAGUAAAAGAUUUUAGUUCGGCCGUGUUUUUUCCUCCAUGCUCGAGCCUUUUGUUGGCAAUUUAAAUUUGCCAAUCAGGUCUUAUUCUAUCCCCGGUGAGUAUCUCUAAUUUUUUUUUAUUGUUUGUUUUUGUAUUUUAAAAAUAUUUAUUAAUUUAUUAAUUUUUUA